Molecule: unclassified non-coding RNA, 236 nt
Filed under: plant metagenome
Description: partial contains small subunit ribosomal RNA, internal transcribed spacer 1, and 5.8S ribosomal RNA
Source: RNAcentral
UUUCCGUAGGUGAACCUGCGGAAGGAUCAUUACUGAGUAAGGGCCCCUCGGGGUCCAACCUCCCACCCGUGUUUAACGAACCUUGUUGCUUCGGCGGGCCCGCCUCACGGCCGCCGGGGGGCAUCUGCCCCCGGGCCCGCGCCCGCCGAAGCCACCUGUGAACGCUGUCUGAAGUAUGCAGUCUGAGACAAUUAUUAAAUUAAUUAAAACUUUCAACAACGGAUCUCUUGGUUCCG